This is a non-coding RNA of Chelonoidis abingdonii (Abingdon island giant tortoise), 480 nucleotides long. The record is from the annotation of a RefSeq genome assembly. Lineage: Eukaryota; Metazoa; Chordata; Testudines; Testudinidae.
GGAGUUACAAAGUCAGCACUGGGCUGCAAACCAGCAGAAGCCCAGCUACUGAGUCAGGUUCUUUCUCUUCUCUGUCCAUCUCCUCCGGGCACCAUGGCCCAAUGUGCUCUGGCUGUCUGCCUCCUGGGGCUUUCCCUGGCAGCUGCUGGUGGUCUAUUAACUCAGCCGGCUUCUGAGACUGUGUCCCCAGGAGCCACUGUCAGACUCUCCUGCACCAUGAGCCGUGGGACCAGCAUCAGUGGCUACUACAUAAGCUGGCUGCAGCAGAGAGCAGGGAACCCUCCGAGAUACCUGCUCUAUUACAAAGAUGAAUCUGCCAACGGUCUGGGGUCUGGGGUCUCUGACCGAUUCUCAGCUUCCAAAGACACUUCCACUAACACCUGCUAUUUAAUCAUCACCGGGGCCCAAGCAGAGGAGGAGGCAGAUUAUUACUGUCUCACAUUCAAUGCUGCUGUGGCUCACAGUGCGACAGGCAGAUAG